Molecule: non-coding RNA, 1064 nt
Organism: Saimiri boliviensis boliviensis (Bolivian squirrel monkey)
Lineage: Eukaryota; Metazoa; Chordata; Mammalia; Primates; Cebidae
Source: RefSeq, a predicted model, not a curated record
AGGUUUCAUCACUCCGUGGUUAUGUGUCUUCAGAUGACCAGGCGAGCACGGUCGGACUCAGAUCCUGGGAAGGGGAAGAAGACCUGGAGGAGCAAAGCCUCUAUAAACUAUCCCAGGAGAGAGUAAGAAGCUGGCUUCUGGGGAGCGACUUCAGGCUCACUGAAGACGACCCCCAAGGCCAGUAGGUUUGUGUACGCCCGUCUGACCCCAGCCAUGUAAGUAAUCAUUGAUCAAAAUGUCACUUUGCCACAUGACUGUUCUUAAUAACAGCUGCUUAAGUUAUUAAAAUGAAAAGGAUAACUGAUACACAUUUGAGUCUUGGAUACUAUGUGGUCACUUCUCUAUGUUGCCUCCUUGAAGCAUCACUUUGAGGCAUUAUUAAUUUGGUUCUAUUCAUUAUACAGAUGAGGAAUGUGAGUCUCAGGUAAGUAAAUUAUUCACGAGACACACCCACAGCUGGAUCUCUCUAACACCAAAGGCUAAUCUAUAAACUAACGUGCUGCACUGCCUGUCGUGGCGAAGUAGACUUGCCGUGUCAAACAGAAUCACCCAGUCCUCAGUUGUACCAUUCAGUAAGCAUCAGCACGCCAUGAAGUGUGCUCCCUGCUGUGUUGCGGGGACAAAACAUCUAUCCCAGGCCUCUGUGGCCGCCCGUUCUGUCCUGUCCAAUGAAGCUCUGUUCUGUUCCAUUGGUCUACGUCUCUGUUUCGGUACCAGUACCAUGCUGUUCUGAUUACUGUAGCAGUUGACUACGUUUCUGAUCAGGUUUUCAGUAUUCAUUGAGAGAAACAGAACGUUGUGCAAACAAUCCACAGCACGACGUGCCCUCAUAAAGCUUUGUUUCUGCGUUGCAGGUAGUGCCGGUGUUCCCUCUGAAGUGUGACUCUGGUAAGUAUUCUGGUAUCAUUGUCAAGAAAAAAGAAAAGCUGGUUUCAAUGUGAAGUGCCACCCUGAUUCUGGGAUUGUGUUAGGAGUAAGCAUAGUGAAAGGGUUUUGUGAAAACCUGAAUUCCCCAGGGAAAAAUCAUGGCCACAUUUUGAGGCCGCAGCUGUGCUCCCUUUUGG